RNAcentral lists this ribosomal RNA (497 nucleotides) under uncultured bacterium. RNAcentral's name for it is "partial 16S ribosomal RNA". It matches the Rfam family "Bacterial small subunit ribosomal RNA", at positions 29 to 523 of the family's 1533-position model. The record is from RNAcentral.
AAUGAACGCUGGCGGCAUGCCUUACACAUGCAAGUCGAACGGUAACGCGGGGCAACCUGGCGACGAGUGGCGAACGGGUGAGUAAAGCAUCGGAACGUGCCCAGUAGUGGGGGAUAGCCCGGCGAAAGCCGGAUUAAUACCGCAUACGACCUAUGGGUGAAAGGGGGGGAUCGCAAGACCUCUCGCUAUUGGAGCGGCCGAUGUCAGAUUAGGUAGUUGGUGGGGUAAAGGCCUACCAAGCCGACGAUCUGUAGCUGGUCUGAGAGGACGACCAGCCACACUGGGACUGAGACACGGCCCAGACUCCUACGGGAGGCAGCAGUGGGGAAUUUUGGACAAUGGGCGCAAGCCUGAUCCAGCCAUGCCGCGUGCGGGAAGAAGGCCUUCGGGUUGUAAACCGCUUUUGUCAGGGAAGAAAUCCUUUGGGUUAAUACCUCGGGGGAUGACGGUACCUGAAGAAUAAGCACCGGCUAACUACGUGCCAGCAGCCGCGGUAA